Molecule: long non-coding RNA, 3619 nt
Organism: Ictalurus punctatus (channel catfish)
Lineage: Eukaryota; Metazoa; Chordata; Actinopteri; Siluriformes; Ictaluridae
Source: Ensembl
UGUUGUUUAAAAACAAUGAUAUGAAGUUAUUUUAAACUAUUUCUCAGUUGGAGUGGACCUGCUUUGGUUUUCAUGCCUUAACUUUCAAGAAACACUUGGCUGGUGAGAAGAAUUAUAGGACACUCAUUAGUCACCAAUACGGUGAGCAAUGAGGCCUUCAAAUGUAGCCAAAAUAAGGAGCUUUAGAUUACAGGUGUCCUUGUUCUCCAUAAGUAACACAGGGUCAUGAUGAUAUUUUGAAUUAGCAGCAAAGAGAGUCUUGAAUAAGUAAGCAAUAAAACAUAAUGGGGCAUACUGUUAAUAGUCAAUGACAUGUUGGGGUCAUAUAAUCAGACUAUCCCAAAAUUGAUUAAUUUCCUACAGCAGCAUGUCCCAAAAUUUUUUUAAAUUUGAACUCUUAUAGCACAGCAAUUUGCCAAUGAGUGAAAUAUAUUUUUUAUAAUUAAAGAACAAACAAGUCGUACUUUGUAUCCGUUCAUAGUUACGCUUCAUGUUGUGGAAGUUGCUUCCUAUUAUCACUUCUGUUAUAACAGCUAUAAACGGUUAUUCCCUCACUAGCUUCUCUUUUUUUUUCAUCUCGCUCUCAAAGUUAAUAAGACAAAAAAAACAACAACUUGUAGUUCGACAGAGAAACCACUAAAUGCAUAGUCUACGAAUUAACUGUUACUAUGCAUAGAACUGUAGAAAUCAUUACGGAUUAUUACAUUAAUAAGCGGAUUAAUAUGCAACCUGUGAUUUGCAACUGUACUCCUGGCAUAGCUCCUGUUACAGAAAAUCAAACAACAGCUUCUGACCAAUCAGAAUCCAACAACAGUGGUACACAGUAAUAUAUUGCAUAAUCAGUUAUCAGCAGUGUUGGGUAAGUUACUCCAGAAAAAGUAAUCCACUACAGAUGACUAAUUACUACUUUCAAAUUGUAAUCUGAUUACAUUACUGUUUACUGUUUUCUUAACAAUAAAUUUGUAAUGCACGUAAUGUCAUUUUAUUGACAUCAGUGACUGUAAUCAAAUGGUAUGAAGUAAAAAUAUAAUGCGUUACAUUACUGCGUUAUCAGAAAAAGUCAUUAGAAUACAGUAACGUGUUACACCCAACUCUGGUUAUCGGCACAUCUUGAGAGGACCGUCACAAGCCGAGACAGAGGUCUUGAUCUGUGCAAAACGAACACGGUGAACCUGAGACUGAACUGUAAAGGCCAACGAGGGAAAGUGCUUUUCUUCAAAGUCUUGGAACGAUGGAUGAUGUAUAGGCUGGUACGAGUCCACUGCAGUACUGUACGCUUCAAACACCCUUCAAAUACACAUCAAUCAGGAAGGAAGUUAUUGAAGAAAAAUGAUUUCAGACAUUUAACCUUGCUGUGAUCUUGACCCUGUUUGGAUCAAUCCAAAAUCGAAUCAGUUCAUCUCCUGGUUACGAUGAUAAUGCCAUAUAAAUCCCACAAACAUUCAACCACUCACUGUAAAGACACUGCAUUUGAGUCUCGGAUGGAUGGACGGACAGACGGACAACCUUGUUGAAGGAAUAAAAAGACAGAAUAUGGUAGAAAUGCAAUGUUAUUCAGUACAUGUUACACAGAAGUGUAGUGUUAAUUGCAUAAAUAACAUUAAACAAUAUAACGUAAAUGAUAUAAACAUUAUCGCAUUAUAAAGUCCCUUUUCAAGAGUAUAUCACAGAACUGCUUUCACUACAAACAGCACUUUAGUGCAAGGUUGGUUUAUUAUUUGCAGUGCAGCUCUCGGAAUUUACAGCCCCAAAGAGUGCUUGAAAAUCCCAACAGUACAAAAGUUUCACGGAAAAAUAUUCUAUAUAAUUACUUCUACAAGGAAGUGAAAUGAAUUGAACUACACUACUAUUAAAACGUUGUGCCUUUUCCAUUCAUAACUUCAUAAGCCCCCUGGUGAAUCCCACCAACAAAUCAUAAUAAGCAAAUUUACAGUAUAUAACUCCAAUUUCCACUCCAACAAAAUUAUCUUCCCCAUUAAAGGCAGAUAUUUUAAACCGAGGGUGCAGCCCCAAAAAGGCUCAGACAAAGCCAGCCCAGGUCCUCAAACUAUACACAGAAAAUAGAAGACGACACGAAACGAGCAUUUAGUUCAUUGUUAAAUCAACUCUUAGAACUGCCUGAACACACAAAACAGCUACUUCCAAGUACUUACUGGCCUGAAACACUUCAUUAGCACUGGAUUGGAUUUGACAAAUCUUUUCAAUCCGGUCCACUGAAUUCUUUCAUGUUGUAAACGUCUGCGAUGCUAACUGACACAAAACAGAUCCUACAUGUGAAUAUAAGAUUUAACCUGACUUAUACAGUGUUGAUGAAUUCUCAAAUCUGAUUGGUCAGAAAGUGUGGAUUAAUUCUCUCUAACAGCAGCUCUGAAAAUAGUGCCAGCUGUCAUUCAAAUCACAAGUUUACAUGAACGCAGUUAUUCAUACACGUUACUGUUUCUAGAAAAUCAGCUCACUCAUGGAAACUCAUGAGGCCGCUGUGGCUCAGGUGGUAGAGCGGGUUAUCCGCUAAUCGUAGGGUUGGCGGUUUGAUUCCCGGCCCACGUGACUCCACAUGCCGAAUUGUCUUUGGGCAAGACACUGAACCCCAAGUUGCUCUUGAUGGCAAGCUAGCACCCUGCAUGGCAGUUCUGCUACCACUGGUAUGUGUGUGUGUGUGCGUGUGUGAAUUUGUAAGUUAAAAAAGCGCUAUAUAAGUGCAGACUAUGUACCAUAACCAUAAUCCGAGUGUAAUAAUUUUUUUGUAACAGAUUUAAAAAAAAAAAAAAAACUUUUUUAACAAACCCCGCUGUACAUUUACUGAUCUGAUGAAGCUUUCUCUGAUGAGAUGUUUAACAUUUAUAGAAGGACUGUUUGAUUAACACUUCUCUAUUGAAGCAUUUCACAGUUCAUCACUUUCAAAGAUGAAUAUUGUUCAUUAACACCCGUAGUUCAAUCCAGAUGUUUACUCACUGAACUGUAGGCGUUCAAUCCAGAUGUUUACUCAAGACUGCAACAAUUUAUUGCCGUGUGCUAGACAACUUACUUCAAUAAUCAGUUCCAGAUAUGAUGUUCAAUACAAGAGUACCAAAGGAUUUCACUUGUAAACCGACAGAAGUUGCGCAACAAUGUUUCAAAAUGAAUCCGCAUCAGCUAUUUCCAGGAUAUUCUGUCAUGUUUUCAAGGAUUACUGGAGAUUGAAUAUUCUUGGUGAAUAUUAAAGAAGCCAUCUCAGUGCAUGAAGUGGAUUACUUUAUGGGAUUCCGAUAAGAGAGGGCUAAAAUGGGUGCUGAAAGAGCCAGCUUUCUUCACGGAUCGUGGGGAACCUGGAACCUAUCCCAGCGAGCAUCGGGCACAAGGCGGGGUACACCCUGGACAGGGUGCCAAUUCAUCGCAGGGCACAAUCACACACACACUCUCACACCCAUUCAUACACUAUGGACACUUUGGACAUGCCAAUCAGUCUACCAUGCAUGUCGUUGGACUGGGGGAGGAAACCGGAGUACCCGGAGGAAACCCCCGCAGCACGGGGAGAACAUGCAAACUACGCACACACAUGGCAGCGGCGGAAAUCGAACCCCCGACCCUGGAGCCAUCUCAACCAGUACCGAGGGUUCCGAUUCUAAUGAAAGUACCGAGG